Molecule: ribosomal RNA, 180 nt
Filed under: uncultured bacterium
Lineage: Bacteria
Description: partial 16S ribosomal RNA
Rfam family: Bacterial small subunit ribosomal RNA
Source: RNAcentral
CAUGAAGUUGGAAUCACUAGUAAUCGCGGAUCAGCAUGCCGCGGUGAAUGCGUUCUCGGGCCUUGUACACACCGCCCGUCACACCAUGAGAGUCGGGAACACCCGAAGUCCGUAGCCUAACCGCAAGGGGGCGCGGCCGAAGGUGGGCUCGAUAAUUGGGUGAAGUCGUAACAAGGUACC